AAAACUCAAAUGAAUUGACGGGGGCCCGCACAAGCGGUGGAGCAUGUGGUUUAAUUCGAUGCAACGCGAAGAACCUUACCUACUCUUGACAUCCAGAGAAGCCAGCGGAGACGCAGGUGUGCCUUCGGGAGCUCUGAGACAGGUGCUGCAUGGCUGUCGUCAGCUCGUGUUGUGAAAUGUUGGGUUAAGUCCCGCAACGAGCGCAACCCUUAUCCUUGUUUGCCAGCGAGUAAUGUCGGGAACUCCAGGGAGACUGCCGGUGAUAAACCGGAGGAAGGUGGGGACGACGUCAAGUCAUCAUGGCCCUUACGAGUAGGGCUACACACGUGCUACAAUGGCGCAUACAGAGGGCAGCAAGCUAGCGAUAGUGAGCGAAUCCCAAAAAGUGCGUCGUAGUCCGGAUUGGAGUCUGCAACUCGACUCCAUGAAGUCGGAAUCGCUAGUAAUCGUGAAUCAGAAUGUCACGGUGAAUACGUUCCCGGGCCUUGUACACACCGCCCGUCACACCAUGGGAGUGGGCUGCAAAAGAAGUGGGUA
Molecule: ribosomal RNA, 537 nt
Filed under: Vibrio splendidus
Lineage: Bacteria; Pseudomonadati; Pseudomonadota; Gammaproteobacteria; Vibrionales; Vibrionaceae
Description: bacterial SSU rRNA
Rfam family: Bacterial small subunit ribosomal RNA
Source: RNAcentral